CUUCUUAUUCCGGAAUAAUCAUUCUGUCUACUCGAUUGGUUUGGUAUGUUAAGCUUAGAAAGCCUUCUCAGCCUCCCGCGCCAAAGAGGGAAGAAUAGCAUUCCGGUAUGGCGUCGAGCAGUGACAAUCAACCAGCGAACACAGUUUCAUUUACAACGGACAGUGGAAACACUGUUGUUUUAAAACUGGAUGAUGAGACUGAAAAACCUUAAGAAUAAUGAUCCCAAUACAAUUAACUUAGUACUUCAGCUAGUCACGGAACAGGAAGAAUCUGGUGAGACUAAAAUGGAGGAGCCAAAACCUUGUGGAGAGGCUGCCACUUCCUUAUGUUCCUAGACUAAAGAGAGAACCAAACUCCUAUUAAAUGAAUAUAAAGAGAGAUAUUCACUAUUCAAUAGCCCAGCCCAGAGAAGAAAACUUUAUGGAUGGAUAUUUGCCAAGUGAUCAAUGCAGAAACGCAAUCAACAUUCAACAGCCAGAAAGUGGAAGGAAGAUUUAAAACAGUGCUUUCAUCGUGCAGAAAGUACAAGGAUGCACAAAAAAGAACAGGUCCGAGAGAAAGGAAUACGAAUUUGCAUCUGAAAUGGAGGAAAUAUUUGGAAGCAGUCAUUCCACAAACCCAGCUUUUGUUGUAGAAAGUAGUUCAACAAGUACCUCUACACCAAAAAACCCAGAAGAGCAAUACCAAAGAACUAAGUCCUAGUAGUAGCAGUGAUAGAGCUGACAAUAAUGAAGAAUCAAGAUUAAGUAAGGAUAAUAAAAAGCAAAUUCAUGAAGGGAAGUCAGGGGAGAGAAAAAGAAAGCAUCAUCGCACAUCAGGUGCAUCUCAGUUGAUAGAUUUUCUUAAAUAUUACACAGAGAAACGAAGGAGGAAGAGGAUAGACGACGUGCAGAGACGAUGCACAAAGAGCAGAUGAAAGUGCUUUCAGGACUGACAAGUGUUCUUGACAAGCUUGCAGAUGCAGCUGCAAAGAAGUAGUAAUGCAUAAUAUAUCUGCAAUUAGAGGGACAUUUUUUUUAAGUUGUCCAUUCACUGUUCAAGAUUUAAAGUUUUUUGUUGACGAUGGAGAAGUUGAAAUCAUCCCGUUUGUCAUACAGUUGAGUUGUCAGUUUGCCGUUAAAGCUGACAUGAAUUAAUAAAUAUAGUAUAAUUCUA
Molecule: long non-coding RNA, 1156 nt
Organism: Ostrea edulis (European flat oyster)
Lineage: Eukaryota; Metazoa; Mollusca; Bivalvia; Ostreida; Ostreidae
Exons: 4
Source: RefSeq, a predicted model, not a curated record